Molecule: ribosomal RNA, 497 nt
Filed under: uncultured bacterium
Lineage: Bacteria
Description: partial 16S ribosomal RNA
Rfam family: Bacterial small subunit ribosomal RNA
Source: RNAcentral
GAUGAACGCUGGCGGCGUGCCUAAUACAUGCAAGUCGAGCGAACGGACGAGAAGCUUUCUUCUCUGAUGUUAGCGGCGGACGGGUGAGUAACACGUGGAUAACCUACCUAUAAGACUGGGAUAACUUCGGGAAACCGGAGCUAAUACCGGAUAAUAUUUUGAACCGCAUGGUUCAAAAGUGAAAGACGGUCUUGCUGUCACUUAUAGAUGGAUCCGCGCUGCAUUAGCUAGUUGGUAAGGUAACGGCUUACCAAGGCAACGAUGCAUAGCCGACCUGAGAGGGUGAUCGGCCACACUGGAACUGAGACACGGUCCAGACUCCUACGGGAGGCAGCAGUAGGGAAUCUUCCGCAAUGGGCGAAAGCCUGACGGAGCAACGCCGCGUGAGUGAUGAAGGUCUUCGGACCGUAAAACUCUGUUAUUAGGGAAGAACAUAUGUGUAAGUAACUGUGCACAUCUUGACGGUACCUAAUCAGAAAGCCACGGCUAACUACGUG